GGCUGGCGGCAGGCUAACACUAUGCAGUCGAACGGAUCCUUCGGGAUUAGUGGCGGACGGGUGAGAUGGGAACGUGCCCUUUGGUUCGGAACAACUCAGGAAACUUGAGCUAAUACCGGAUGUGCCCUUCGGGGGAAAGAUUUAUCGCCAUUGGAGCGGCCCGCGUCUGAUUAGCUAGUUGGUGGGGUAAAGGCCCACCAAGGCGACGAUCAGUAGCUGGUCUGAGAGGAUGAUCAGCCACAUUGGGACUGAGACACGGCCCAAACUCCUACGGGAGGCAGCAGUGGGGAAUCUUGCGCAAUGGGCGAAAGCCUGACGCAGCCAUGCCGCGUGAAUGAUGAAGGUCUUAGGAUUGUAAAAUUCUUUCACCGGGGACGAUAAUGACGGUACCCGGAGAAAAGCCCGGUACUUCUGCCGCAGCCGCGGUAUACGAAGGGCUACGUGUCGGAAUACUGGCGUAAAGGACGUAGCGGAUGUUAGUU
This 482-nucleotide ribosomal RNA is filed under the name uncultured Caulobacter sp. RNAcentral's name for it is "bacterial SSU rRNA". It matches the Rfam family "Bacterial small subunit ribosomal RNA", at positions 34 to 584 of the family's 1533-position model. Lineage: Bacteria; Pseudomonadati; Pseudomonadota; Alphaproteobacteria; Caulobacterales; Caulobacteraceae. The record is from RNAcentral.